Vicugna pacos (alpaca) is the source of this 822-nucleotide non-coding RNA. The record is from RefSeq and is a predicted model, not a curated record. Lineage: Eukaryota; Metazoa; Chordata; Mammalia; Artiodactyla; Camelidae.
AUUUCAGAGAGCGCGCAGGCUGAGGCCGGGCUCUGGUGGGCUCCGGGCCGCCUCUGUGGGGCCUCCCUCUGCUGCCCUCUGCUGGCAGGGGAGGCGGAGGCACCUUCCUCUCAGCCUGGCCGGGAGCGGCCGCCCCCUCCCCUUUGAGCCGGAGGGAAGCUGAGGUCCCUGCCCCCUUCCUGCUCCUUUCCUGAAGAAUCACAGGUUGGGGUGGGGCAGCUGUACGUUUUGAGAAAGCGCUGCGCCCCAGGAGGAGGGGGGUCUAUUUAUCGAAGAGCAUACUCCCCCACUCCCCAAGGCGGGCACAUCAUGCCAGCCCUUCUGGUCCCCUAAUCCCAGAUCCUCCCUCUGCACAACAUCCUCUGGGAGAGGACCGGCGGCCAGAAUGCGGCAGGUUUCUGACAUUGUUUUCUUCUUGAAAAUGGAAACCCUCCUUCCGGCAACGUGGCAGUAAAGCACUGGGCAGCUGGGCCAAGAACGCUUGGGGUGUUUCUCUCGCAUCAUAUGGAACCUGUGUGCAAUGGAAGCAUCCUGAAAAGGAAAGACAGAAAGCAGAUCCCUGGUGCUGGUUCCCCCUCCUUCGGAUCUGGCUUCUGCUCCUGUGAAGAACCACUUCUUUGACCAUCCUUCUCUGCUCUAAUGGCUUGUCUUCACCCACCGAGGACUUGAUAGGAACCAUCUACAUCAGAAUUACCUCAGAGGCUUGUUAAAAAUGCAAAUUCCCAGGGACAGACGGGGAGUUCAAAAUUUGUAGAUGCUGACAGGCAUAUGUAGAAUAGAUAAACAAGAUUAUACUGUAUAGCACAGGGAAAUACAUACAAG